CGAAUGGGUCCAAAGACUCUUAAAACCUACCGUGCUCCCCUACGUGGAAAACAGGAAAGCCCUCCGGGGCAUAGGAAAUCUGAGAAGUUGAGAACUGCGCCCCGGCGCAUGACUAAAACAAAAAAAUUA
This 129-nucleotide unclassified non-coding RNA is filed under the name soil metagenome. RNAcentral describes it as "partial internal transcribed spacer 1". The record is from RNAcentral.